This is an RNA transcript of Chinchilla lanigera (long-tailed chinchilla), 4756 nucleotides long. RefSeq lists it as uncharacterized. Lineage: Eukaryota; Metazoa; Chordata; Mammalia; Rodentia; Chinchillidae. The transcript is spliced from 4 exons. The record is from RefSeq and is a predicted model, not a curated record.
UGUGUGUGUGUGUGUGUGUGUGUGCGUGUUCGCACGCGAGCAACUAUUUUAAGACAUGAAAAGUCAGCAGGAAGUCAACAGCAAAUGCCUCUUCCAGGCCUCACCCCGCUAGAGAAGGUGCAGCCGGUUCCACCUGGCCGGGGUCUCCCCACCUGGGGUCCUGCAGCCCUGGGCACCGCAGCCACCUCUGUGGCAGGGAUGCUGCCCCUCGCCUCGUCCCUGUUGCCGUCACCGGCACCGCCACUCCGCGGGGCUCUCAGCCACCCGAGCUCUGGCGUCUUUGCCGGUCGUCUCAGGAAGUGCCACGCUGAGUGCUAGGCUGCCUGCUCCUGCCCUCUUCCUGCUUCCUGUCCAGGAACCUCGGACCCCAGGAGCCAAACUUCCAGCCUCCUGCCUCAGCCUCCCAGAGCGCAGGGAUUAUAGGCGUGUGUGCCACUAGGACUGGUUCAGAGACUUCCUAGAAUGAAAUUCUUUCCACUGUCACCGGAAAAAUAUGCAGUAUCUCCUUGCCACCUACAGAAGUUCAAGCCCAACCCACCCAGUCAGGCUCUUUCCUGUCUUGUACCGCAUGGCCCCACUGUGUCCCUACACAGCAGACAAGCUUGAAUUUUCCAAAUGCGCUUGCUUGUCUAACUUUGCAGCUCUCCACCUGGAGUCUCAUGAUCCCUGUGCCCAAAUGUCCGGGUUCUAACUCCUGUCAAGGCCAAGCUAAGGAAGCCCUCAACCGCCUGUCCAGCAGCCCUCCUUAGCGGGAGAGGCCCGAUCCAAGCUCCCAAGCUCCCUCCCCUCGUCCGCUCCUGCCUUCUCGGUCUUCACCUCUGCGGGUUGUUCAGAUGUCAGGAAAUACACCCCCCCCUCACACCCCGCCCCCAUGUGCAUUAGGAUUCUCCUCCGUCCUCUGGAUCCGGCCUGAGCUCCAGACUUGCUCUGGCUGAUGGGACAUCUGUCUUGUGCGAUGCUCCCACCCCAGGGCCACCAGCACUUAGGUUAGACCAGAGCAGGCCCAGGGGACACGUGGGGGCGAAAUCCAAAGUAGCAUCACUGCCAGUUAAGAAACAAAGGCGCCAAUGUGUAACACUUUUAGAACCAUCUCUCAGUGGCCACUUUGCCAGUGUGGCCACUCAGCAGAGUGGCAUCUGAUGUCACGCAGGCUGUGCAGUCCUCUGAUGCCCGGCUGCCCAGCAGCUAGCCCAGAGCACGCUCAUGGCUCCCCUGGCCGCCUCAGCCCAGCCAUUCCAGGACAGGAAAGUCUCAAAGACUUUCCCGCCACGGACUCCAGAGAGCUUAGCUUUCAUAAGUUUCUGGCACGGCUAAGGCCCCUGAGGAAACACUGACCGUCUGAAAAGGACCAGAAGGCAUUUCGCAGUUCCUACGCAACUGCUGAGUAAAGUGUCCACAAGCAUUGCAAUGACCAGUUCCCAGACCCCCAGGGGACCUCGGGUGCCCGAGACUUUCCGAAGCCACACGGGGCAGACAGCGCAGACGGUAUAACUCUGUCUUUACUCAUCUACCAUAAACUCCAACUAGACUUCGCGCAGCCUGCUUGUCCACCCUGAACUCUUCCAUCCGAGAUGACCUUGUGCCCCAUUCCCACCGGGAACCCGGCUCCCGGCCCUGCCGACAUCGCCCACCAGAACCCCUGGCCUGGCCUCCUCCUUGCUGCGACCUUCACGGGGUCACAGUCCCAGGAAGGAAAUGCCUGGGUCCUCGGUGUCAGCAUUUUCCUUUGGCCCCGCAUCCCAGCCUGAUCUGGACAGUAUGGUGAUUAUUUUUUUACUUGAAUUUUUGGACUUCCUUCUAUCUUCCCUUUUGAGAUAGUCCAACAAGAGGGUGAAUGUGAAGUGGCUUUCAUUAUUUUUGUUUAGACAAGCUUUAGCUACGCUGCCCAGGCUAGCCCCAACCAAACUCCUGGGUCCAAGUGACCCUCCUGUCCCAGUCUCAGAUUUUAGGGGUAUUCUAUUGCACUCACCUCUGAAAUGGCUUUCAAAAAGGCAAGAAAUAAUUUGAAUGUAACAAUUAUUGCUUAAUAAAUGGCUGCAAAGAUGUGUUUAAGCUCCCCCAAAGGGACCAUGUCUUGCUGGACACAGGGCACAGGACAAGGGACCUGCUCUGGGGAGGUCCAGGGAGAGGCCAUGAACCGGAUGUCAGCCACACCCUCGGGGUCCAGGCCCACCAGCACAUCACUUCGCCCUAGCGCUGGGGCUCCAAAGACUUCUGAGGGGCCGAAGGAAGACCACGGGAGAGGGAGUGGGCGACGUUUGUGAUGCUGAACCCCGCUCUGGAAGGUGCCUCCGACACCCAACCGUUACCAGCAGGACAUCUGCAGGUUCAUCUGCAACAGGAGCUAAGUGCCAGUGCUGUGAGCCGCCUCCCUCCGCCAGGCCCUUCCACUGUAGCGUGACCACACAAGGACUGAAACUUCUAAAACCCAAGCAGCAGUAAACCUCUCCUCCCAGCGACAAGGACAUGAUUAAAAGCAGCGGGAAGUGGGGGCCAGCUGGCUUGGUGAGCAGGAGUCAGAGCCAGCAGUGGGUCCCACGGUGGGUUCCACGGUGCUGGUGCCCCUGUCCCCUAGGUCAAGCACGUCCAGGGCUGGGCCGGCCUGGCCUCGGCGGGUCCCCUGCUCCUGGCGUGGCUUGACAGUCACUCCAAGGGUUCUGCAGUGCUCUUCUCUGAGACGUCAGGGCCUGGCAGACGACUGCACCCCCGAGGCCGAGGACACCGCUGAGACAGCCGGGCGUCUCCCCUCACCGCGGAGUCUGCCUGCCCCAGACCCCCUGUGCCGUGUGACAGGGCAAGAGGGUGCGCAGUGGCUGCUUCUGUGAGCCGGAAGACAGGAGAACCCAUCUGGACCUCACUGUCUUCAAAUAUGGGGAAGGAAGGACUCCUGGUGUGAGGAAACCCUCCAGAGGCCUAGAGAGCUUUGGAGCGAUUCCGAUUCACCACCACUGCCAGUGAGGUGUGGCCCUGGUGGGUGAGGGGCUCGUGUCAGGCCCUAGGAGCGACCCGGGUGGUGCCACGCAGUGCCUGGGCAUCUGGGCACUCGCCACAUGGAGCCAUUUUCUAAAGCCAUCAUCCAACACCAGGGCCUGCCAGGGCCAACGCCAGCAUCCUGCGGUCAGUCGUCUGCUCCUCCAUCAGUUUUGUUUUUUGUUGUUGUUGUUGGUUUUUUGAGACAGUGUCUCUCCCUGUAGCCCAGGGUGGGCUCGAAUUCAAGCGACUUCUCCUUCUUCAGCCUCCCAAGUGCUGGACUGCAGGCACGUGCCACCGCACCCGGCCCUCCAUCUCUUAUUUUGGUACUGAGAAGGGAACCUGGGGCCUCGCACACGGGAGAAGAGGACCUUACCACAGCUCCACCCUCAGCCGCACUCCCCAUUUGAUAGCCAGAUGUACCCCCGCCUCUCUCUCUCUCUCUCUCUGUCUCUCUCUCACACACACACAUGCACACACGCGCACUCCCACUCUCCCAAGCCCCCCGGGGGCUGGGGACCAAGCGUUCUCUCCCAGCUCACCCUGGGACGGAACUCAGCUCCUCCAUGGCUUUGAAACGUCGCUGCCGCUCGGAGCCAAGAGGGCAGAGGGGAAGCUCAGAGCGCAGUGAAGAGCUAGGAUGGAGGCAGCACCCUUUGCUAAGAAACAGCGUUCUUGUGAUUUACGUCGCCACCCCGUGACCCAGCCGUCUGGUGCGCAGCACUCCGUGGCUUUGGUACAUUCCGGUGGUCCAACCCUCACUACACGUGUCCUUUGUGCUUUUUAAGGUUUUCCAGCCGGGGGUACAGCUCAGCAGUGCAGUGCCUGCCUGGCAAGCGCGAGGCCCUGAGUUCGAUUCCUGGCACCAAAAAAAAAAAAAAAAAGAUUUUCCUAUUUGUGUUUCAUUCAUUUGAAUACGUGAAUGAAUACAACUAAAUACUCAUCCCUCACCUCCUCCGGGAAGCCCCUCGGCUCCGCAGUGUGUCGUGGCUCCCUGAUCCAGGGUGCUCAGCGCAGUUCUGAUCCCCACGUUUUAUGUACACUCAGCUUUGAGCUCACUGAGGACAGGAUGAGGGUCCUCCUUUGUCAUGUAUCUAUGUGAGUCUGGCGGUCAAAGGAUGGCCAAGGAGUAUUUGAUGAGUGAAUGAGUGAAAUCUGGAAGGACAGGGAAGGUGGGACGGGCGGGCGUGGCCUGAGUGGGCAGAGAGAUGCCCGGCCUGCCUUGUCCUGGGUCCGUCCAGCCUGCCUCAGCCGCCUGUUCCCACAUCACUGGGUCCCUGUCACGCACCCUCCCCGCUGACCCUCCCCCAGGCCGAGCCGCUUCCCUUCCUGCACUUCAGCGACGUCAGGAGGGAGCUGCGUCACAGACGUGGUGACGGCCGCGGUAGAGGGGCCCAGAAGCCCGUGUCGAGGGGACAACGCACAGGCCUCUCCAGGAGCGCAUGGGUGGAGCAGACACUGUGAGGCCGCAGUGUCAGCCACUGAGGGUCAGGGGACCGAGCAGAGACAGACAGGCUGAGCCCAAGCCUGCAGCAGGGUGACCUGCAGAGCCAGGAGGGAGGAAGCACUGGCUGUGUGUGUGUGUGUGUGUGUGUGUGUGUGUAAGGCUAAGGACCCCUGGGGGCCCUGUUCCACACCCCCACGCAGGCCAGCCUGGAGCCCCUGCCCGGACAUGGACCUCAGCCUGGAGCCACAGGUCUCCGUCCCCACCUGCCCCAGGAAGGGCAGGUACGGUGUCUCUCUGUGUUUGUUUUGGGAACAAGACAGAGUAUUUUCAUCCAUCACG